Molecule: long non-coding RNA, 527 nt
Organism: Acanthopagrus latus (yellowfin seabream)
Lineage: Eukaryota; Metazoa; Chordata; Actinopteri; Spariformes; Sparidae
Exons: 3
Source: RefSeq, a predicted model, not a curated record
UCGUGGGGUGUUGCUGCUGGAGCCAAUCCCAGCCUUGUCUCAGGGCGAGGGCAGGGUACUCCCUGGAUAAAUCGCCAGCUCAUCGCAGGGCCCUCACUGAUGAGCAAUCACUAAUGGCAUCAUGUUACCACAUCUGAACUGCAUCAUGUUUUCAUCCUGACAUGAAGCUGCUGAUUGUCUCCCAGAAGAGGCUGGGUGGACUUCUCCUGCACUGAUCAUCCCUGAGGUAGACUUGUCUGCGGGAACAUGUCUUUGUCCUCGCUUCUAUCAAGUUGUCAGUUUCUGUUCAAGGCACCUAUAAACCUCCCCAGGGGCACUACAGCGCUCAGGCGAGGCAGCGUGGGCCUGAAGUUGUCUCUCCUGCUACCUUCAGGGUCACCUUUGAUGUUGGCUUAAGAAUGUCUCUCUCUGCCACUGUACAAUAUAUCUCCUAAACCAGCACACCUGCAGUUUGUGAGAAAUGUAACUGUGAGAUAAUAUGGACAAAAGUUUGUGGACACUCAAAAUUGAAACCUCAAUGAGACUGG